UGACAAAAAAUUAACUCAUAUCCAUCACACAUUCACCUCCCUGUAUCUCUCGAUACGGCUCCACUCUCACAUCCAUCACAAAAUCUCGCCGUCGGAGCGUUCCGGAACCAAUACACACCACCGUGUAUGCAAGAAUCUCAACCCCACCAUCUUUAAAUUGCGUCAUCUUCAUCGUACAUCUCUACAGUCUCGUACCUCAACACCUCAUCUGUUUCGCUCAUCUCCGACCUCGCCUAGCCACAACAUCAGCCAAAUCACUACAUCAGUCUAGCAAUUCUUAUCCUUCUAAAUCUGAUUCAAAGAUCCUUCAUAUUUCCCGCUUAUUGGUUAGUGAUGCUAGCUAGUGCCUAAUCUAGUAAUGUAAACUUUUAUAAGUUUUUGGUUCCAAGCUAUGGCUUUUCAAGUUAACAACUUGAUGCAGCUUUUGAGAAUAUGAAGCAUGUUGGAAUAUGAUCCUCAACAAAAUUGUGCAUGGAGUUUCAAAGCCAAUGGUUCCUAGAUUCAUGAAGAUGCAUGUGUGCAAUUUGAUCCAACUUGGCUUAAUGUAUGCUUCAAAUGCAUUAGGAAACAUUGCUGGAAAUGUUUCAGAUUAUUCAUUGCUAGUUUCUUGGGCUGAUUCAAAGAUCUUUUCUUAUUGAGAAUUAAUACCGCUGCUAUUUUCGGCGAGAACAAAAAUCCAAGGAUGGUUCAAGCAUAGAGGUAAAAAAAAACCCUUUUAUCUUCUGUUAUGUUCAUUUCAUAGUCAGAUCUGCACAUGAAUAUCCCUCUGCCUUGAGAUAGCUUGAUACAAUGCUUAUUGCAUGAUCACAAAUCCUAAUUUAAAUAUGAUCAUUAUUUGUUAUGUAGGAUUCAGUAUAUUGUAAUUUAUUUGGUUGUCUCUACACGCUAAAAAUCUUAUAGGUGCUGUUUUAUUUUGAAGCUAUAGUGCUGUACUAAUAAAACUUCAUAGCCAAUUUUGAUCUUAUUUUCUUAUCACAGUACUUGAAGCUCAAAUUCACUAAUAAUAACAAUGGCUUUAUUAUAUGAUUAGAGUUGUAGUAGUAAUUGUGUAGCUUAUAUUAUGAAUGGCCAAAACAGGCUUUCGUUUUUCUGCACCUAUGAUAUGCAAUUUACACAACUUUAUUACGUAUUAUUAUAUGAGUAUUAGUAACUAGUGUUUAACAUAUAAUUGGAAUUAUCUGACAGCAGUUGUCACAAUUUUAGGAGCUUAUAAAAGGGUUAUAGGUAGUUUAUCAAGAGAAAAUAAUGGAUACAAAAAUUAUUUACGAGCUAGUUUUCCUUCGCCUUAGAUUCAAGCUUAUCGCAAUGAAAAAGUCAGGACUUUCCUAAUGUAUAUAUAAGAACUGACGGGAGAUUAUAUGUUACAAGGUAUUUGUUCUUCUUAUAGAGAGCUAGUUGGUGUACAUCAGUUACACUAAAUCUUGCUUACCAUAUACUGUAAUUUUAUUAAGCUUUUUAUUCAUGAUGGUUAUGUGUAUGUUGUAUUAAAGUAUGGCUGCAACUUACUUUUGAGAUUGAACAAGUUUGAACAUA
Molecule: long non-coding RNA, 1533 nt
Organism: Trifolium pratense (red clover)
Lineage: Eukaryota; Viridiplantae; Streptophyta; Magnoliopsida; Fabales; Fabaceae
Exons: 5
Source: RefSeq, a predicted model, not a curated record